This 71-nucleotide transfer RNA is filed under the name Haemophilus haemolyticus. Its description in RNAcentral is "tRNA-Trp". It matches the Rfam family "tRNA". From Rfam's summary of the family: Transfer RNA (tRNA) molecules are approximately 80 nucleotides in length. Their secondary structure includes four short double-helical elements and three loops (D, anti-codon, and T loops). The record is from RNAcentral. Lineage: Bacteria; Pseudomonadati; Pseudomonadota; Gammaproteobacteria; Pasteurellales; Pasteurellaceae.
AAGGGUGUGGUCUAAUGGUAAGACAGCGGUCUCCAAAAUCGCUAAUUGAGGUUCGAAUCCUUGCGCCUUUG